GGCCCGCACAAGCGGUGGAUGAUGUGGAUUAAUUCGAUGCAACGCGAAGAACCUUACCUACCCUUGACAUGGCAGGAACUUGCCAGAGAUGGCUUGGUGCCCGAAAGGGAACCUGCACACAGGUGCUGCAUGGCUGUCGUCAGCUCGUGUCGUGAGAUGUUGGGUUAAGUCCCGCAACGAGCGCAACCCUUGUCAUUAGUUGCUACGAAAGGGCACUCUAAUGAGACUGCCGGUGACAAAACCGGAGGAAGGUGGGGAUGACGUCAAGUCCUCAUGGCCCUUAUGGGUAGGGCUUCACACGUCAUACAAUGGUCGGUACAGAGGGUUGCCAACCCGCGAGGGGGAGCCAAUCCCACAAAGCCGAUCGUAGUCCGGAUCGUAGUCUGCAACUCGACUACGUGAAGUCGGAAUCGCUAGUAAUCGCAGGUCAGCAUACUGCGGUGAAUACGUU
Molecule: ribosomal RNA, 451 nt
Filed under: uncultured bacterium
Lineage: Bacteria
Description: bacterial SSU rRNA
Rfam family: Bacterial small subunit ribosomal RNA
Source: RNAcentral